This 146-nucleotide unclassified non-coding RNA is filed under the name soil metagenome. RNAcentral's name for it is "partial internal transcribed spacer 1". The record is from RNAcentral.
UAAUAAGUGUUUUAUGGCACUUUUUAAAUCCAUAUCCACCUUGUGUGCAAUGUCAGUCGAUCUUCUUCAUGGAGAUUGACCUAAACAUCAACCUUUAUUUUUUAACUCUUUGUCUGAAAAAUAUUAUGAAUAAACAAUUCAAAAUA